CGGCAUAGUCUACGGACACCUGUCGAGGUGCUGCAUGGUUGUCGUCAGCUCGUGCCGUGAGGUGUCGGCUUAAGUGCCAUAACGAGCGCAACCCCUGCGGACAGUUACCAUCAAGUAAAGUUGGGGACUCUGUCCGGACUGCCACCGCAAGGUGUGAGGAAGGGGGAGGUAGACGUACAAUACAGCACGGCCCGUUACCGUUCCGGGGUCCGGGACAACACGUCGGUUUACUAACUAGGCGGUCGGUACGAAACGAAGGUAGUUCCGGUGGGUAGGGGCGAACGGACGACAACAGGGGAAGGUUAGGUG
RNAcentral lists this ribosomal RNA (309 nucleotides) under uncultured bacterium. RNAcentral describes it as "bacterial SSU rRNA". The stretch from base 26 to 193 matches the Rfam family "Bacterial small subunit ribosomal RNA", at positions 1036 to 1201 of the family's 1533-position model. The record is from RNAcentral.